RNAcentral lists this transfer RNA (78 nucleotides) under Streptomyces sp. NBRC 14336. Its description in RNAcentral is "tRNA-Trp". The record is from RNAcentral. Lineage: Bacteria; Bacillati; Actinomycetota; Actinomycetes; Kitasatosporales; Streptomycetaceae.
GUCGGCGCGGCCCACCGCGGCGAGGAUCUCCUGCUCCAGGUGGGCGCGGGGGCGCGGUUCCAGUCCGCCGCCGUCGCC